RNAcentral lists this ribosomal RNA (329 nucleotides) under uncultured bacterium. Its description in RNAcentral is "bacterial SSU rRNA". It matches the Rfam family "Bacterial small subunit ribosomal RNA", at positions 30 to 360 of the family's 1533-position model. The record is from RNAcentral.
AUUGAACGCUGGCGGCAUGCCUUACACAUGCAAGUCGAACGGCAGCACGGGAGCAAUCCUGGUGGCGAGUGGCGAACGGGUGAGUAAUAUAUCGGAACGUGCCCAGUCGUGGGGAUAACGUAGCGAAAGCUACGCUAAUACCGCAUACGAUCUAUGGAUGAAAGCGGGGGAUCGCAAGACCUCGCGCGAUUGGAGCGGCCGAUAUCAGAUUAGGUAGUUGGUGAGGUAAAGGCUCACCAAGCCGACGAUCUGUAGCUGGUCUGAGAGGACGACCAGCCACACUGGGACUGAGACACGGCCCAGACUCCUACGGGAGGCAGCAGUGGGAA